Molecule: long non-coding RNA, 805 nt
Organism: Leopardus geoffroyi (Geoffroy's cat)
Lineage: Eukaryota; Metazoa; Chordata; Mammalia; Carnivora; Felidae
Exons: 2
Source: RefSeq, a predicted model, not a curated record
CCAGUGACAAUCCAGGUUCUAAUUCUGAUGGUUUAAUCCAACUGGAAGAGAAUCUUUGGCCUGUCAAUGACAAAAUGGUUUAUAAAGAAGAAAAAAUAAAUACCAUAUACAAGGUAUCAUUAUAUUUUUCAUCUUUGAUCUCCCGCUCUUCCUUCCGGAUCCUCACAGCAUGGUAUCGGGGAACGCUAUCAUCGUACCUAGAGCGUUUAAAGAAUCCGCACUGACCAAGGGGAAAGAGAAACAGAAACAAACUAAGUAUCUCAAGAAAAGCAAAUGCACAAAAUGGGAAUGUCUAAGCUUUCUGUUCAGCUACGCCUACCUUUGGAUGAAGGGGAAAAAAUAAACAUGGUUUCUUUUAAGAAGGAACUAGUAGGUCCAAAAGACAUACCAGCAGUGGGGAUAAACAGAAGAGAAGACAGCUGUAACAUUGGAAGAAAAGUCCGUUUUUCCAUUGUGUCUCUACUAAGAGUUAUGGAAAAAUGCUUCCAUUUUUUAUAAUCACAAUAUUAUAUGUUAAAGAUCGAAUUUUCAGGUUAAAAAGAUUGGUCUUUAAAAAUGAUAUUCUAAUAAAGGCCAUAAACCAAAGAUUAUUCAUACCCCUUUCCCACUAACAAAAUGGAAUCAGAUCACAAAUAUUUUACAAGUUACUAUUUAAAUAUGCCAGUGUUCAAAUGGGCCAAUUUAAGAAUCUUCUCUCCUCCAAGGCUCAGCACAUAUCUCUCAUUAGCUACCAGGCAAUUUACACUGCCUGGAUUUCCUGUUGUGCUUAUAAAUUGUUUCAUUAAUAAAUCAUGUAGUAACUGUG